Bactrocera tryoni is the source of this 619-nucleotide long non-coding RNA. RefSeq lists it as uncharacterized. NCBI's taxonomy places the organism in Eukaryota, Metazoa, Arthropoda, Insecta, Diptera, Tephritidae. The record is from RefSeq and is a predicted model, not a curated record. The transcript is spliced from 3 exons.
ACGACUGGCGCGCUGUUGUUAACUCGGCUAUAAUCGCGUAAGCGGUGUCUACGCCAAUUAAGAAGAAGAAAAUAGUAAUAUUACUAAAUAUAAGAAUCGGCUUACAAAAACCCAUAGUAAACCAGCACAUGGUCUUCAAUAGAAAAGGCUACCAUAGUAUCAACGCUAUGAUAAUAUGUGAUCAGACUUACAAAUUUAUGGAUAUUAACUGUCAAUACGGUGGUGCAGCCCACGACUCAUUUGUUUGGAAACACUCGGACCAGAGAAGAGUUUUGGAAGAACGAUUUCAGCACAACAGGAAUGAAAAUUCAUGGCUUUAAGGGGAUUCUGGCUACCCAUUGGAACCAUGAGGCAUAACUCCUUACAGAAACGCUUCGGAUGGUUCAAAUGAAGCUAUGUUCAAUGAAAUUCAAUUCAAUCAAAUGAAUUCCCAUAAAUUUGUAUAUUACGAUUGGUAAUUUGCGUUCGAAUGACGAUUCGAACGAACGGAUACGUUUAUAUACUCGCUCACGUAUGUCAUCAUGCCAGAUUACGAUAUAAACGUUCCGAUCACGUAUAUAAGCGCUACGAUCGCGUAUGUCAUAAUACGAAAUACAAACUUUUACGUGACAAGUGAUAC